CUUAAAUUAUUAAUAGAUAUAAUCUUCAAAUUUGAAGAAUUUGGCGGUGAUUUAGUCUUGUUAGAGGAACCUGUUUUUGAAUCGAUACACCACGCAUGAUUUUACUUGUCUUAUUAGUUUGUAUACCGUCAUUAUCAGAUAAUUUUAAAAGAAUUAAUUAUUAGUCCUUUAAAAAAACGAAGACUAAAUUAGAUCAAGGUGCAGCUUAUGGACAAGUUAAAAUGGGUUACAAUAAAACUUAUUUAUAUGGAAUGGUAUUAGUAAGAUAAAUCAUGAAGGCGGAUUUAAUUGUAAUAAAAAUUUAAUAAGUUUUUAAAAUAUAAGCUCUAAAUCAU
RNAcentral lists this ribosomal RNA (335 nucleotides) under Cyclodius obscurus. RNAcentral describes it as "partial 12S ribosomal RNA". The record is from RNAcentral. Lineage: Eukaryota; Metazoa; Arthropoda; Malacostraca; Decapoda; Xanthidae.